AUCAUCCCAUGUAUAGAAGUACUUGCUUAGAAAUCAUGGUGAAUUAGUACGUAGGCUAUGCUGAGAAGAAUAAUUGGAAACUGAAAAACAAAGAUUGACUAUAGUAAUUAAAUGGAAACUUUAAAAACCAUCAUUUAAAAUGUAAAUCUCUUCUCCAAUAAAUGUAUUCGGUCCUUUGAAAGAAAUUCCUUUGCAAUCACUCUGAAGAAUAUAGAUUGUAAAGAAUCCUGGCUGUGAGAAAGGAAGCUGAAAAGGGUUUGUUUUUCCCUCUGACACUUUGCAGCAGAGACAUCUCAGAAUUGCCUAAGUGUGAAUAUCUAAAAUUACAAACUAGUGUUCUCUAGAAAUCUUAGGAUACAUGUGUGAUGAUAAAGAGAGCUACAGCUGUACUCAUUACCAGUGAAAUAACUCAUGAAAAAGUUUUGGGCCAACUUUCGAUAGCAUGUUGAAAGCCACUGCGUUUUCUUUGUCUCUACUUGCUUAUUGUUCAUUUUUGCUUCAUUACCUAUGAUGGCUUCUCUGUAUCCCAUAGUGAGAGUAGGGCCUGGAGAAGGUUUGUAAUCCUAUCACACUUCCAAAAUUAUUGAAUAAAAUAAUAGAUGCCUUCU
RNAcentral lists this long non-coding RNA (608 nucleotides) under Pan troglodytes (chimpanzee). Its description in RNAcentral is "lincRNA". Lineage: Eukaryota; Metazoa; Chordata; Mammalia; Primates; Hominidae. The record is from RNAcentral.